ACUCCUACGGGAGGCAGCAGCCAAGAAUAUUCCGCAAUGGGGGGAACCCUGACGGAGCGACGCUGCGUGAAUGAAGAAGGCUUUCGAGUUGUAAAGUUCUUUUAUAAAGGAAGAAUAAGUUGGGGAGGAAAUGCCCUGAUGAUGACGGUACUUUAUGAAUAAGUCCCGGCUAAUUACGUGCCAGCAGCCGCGGUAAU
Molecule: ribosomal RNA, 197 nt
Filed under: uncultured bacterium
Lineage: Bacteria
Description: partial 16S ribosomal RNA
Rfam family: Bacterial small subunit ribosomal RNA
Source: RNAcentral